AUGCCCCGGAGACUAGCGGCAACUGGAAGCGCGUUGCUUCCCGGUGAGCCACAGGUGCUCCGCACUAUAUAUAUAGUGCGUCUCGCUCCACCCACCUUUAAUUUACUCCCAAACCAAGCCAAACGAAGCAGCGCCGCAGCCCGCAGCGCACCCAUCCCACCAAACAAACAGCUAGCAGGCGAGGCGACCCGCUCCGCCCUCGAGCCGAUGCCGACGCCGUACAGCGCGGCGGCGCUGCAGCAGCACCACCGUCUGGUCUCCUCCUCCGGCGGCCUGGCGACGGCGGCGGCCGCGGGGGCCCACAGGUGCGGCGAGCACGACGGGACGGUGCCGCCGGAGGUGGCGCGGCACCACGAGCACGCGGCGCCGGGGGGCCGGUGCUGCUGCUCGGCGGUGGUGCAGCGCGUGGCGGCGCCCGCCGCCGACGUGUGGGCCGUGGUCCGUCGCUUCGACCAGCCGCAGGCGUACAAGAGCUUCGUGCGCAGCUGCGCGCUGCUGGACGGGGACGGCGGCGUGGGCACGCUGCGGGAGGUGCGCGUGGUGUCGGGCCUCCCCGCGGCGUCGAGCCGGGAGCGGCUGGAGAUCCUGGACGACGAGCGGCACGUGCUGAGCUUCAGCGUGGUGGGCGGCGAGCACCGGCUCCGCAACUACCGGUCGGUGACGACGGUGCACCCGGCGCCCGGGGAGAGCGCGUCGGCGACGCUGGUGGUGGAGUCGUACGUGGUGGACGUGCCCCCCGGGAACACGCCCGAGGACACCCGCGUCUUCGUGGACACCAUCGUCAAGUGCAACCUCCAGUCCCUCGCCCGCACCGCCGAGAAGCUCGCCGGCCGAGGGCCCGCGUACGGCGCGCUGCCGUGA
Molecule: ribosomal RNA, 861 nt
Filed under: Triticum aestivum (bread wheat)
Lineage: Eukaryota; Viridiplantae; Streptophyta; Magnoliopsida; Poales; Poaceae
Description: partial small subunit ribosomal RNA
Source: RNAcentral